UACAGAGGUCCCGAGCGUUGUUCGGAUUCACUGGGCGUAAAGGGUGCGUAGGUGGCGAGGUAAGUCGGAUGUGAAAGCUCGGAGCUCAACUCCGAAAUGGCAUUGGAAACUACCUUGCUCGAGGGUUGGAGGGGGGACUGGAAUGCUUGGUGUAGCAGUGAAAUGCGUAGAUAUCAAGCGGAACACCAGUGGCGAAGGCGAGUCCCUGGACAACUCCUGACACUGAGGCACGAAAGCUAGGGGAGCAAACGGG
This 253-nucleotide ribosomal RNA is filed under the name uncultured bacterium. Its description in RNAcentral is "partial 16S ribosomal RNA". It matches the Rfam family "Bacterial small subunit ribosomal RNA", at positions 524 to 776 of the family's 1533-position model. The record is from RNAcentral.